CUAUGUAUACAUGGGAGCUUACAGCUAGGUAGGCUGAGAAAGAUGCCAGCAUCUGACCAUACCUGAUCUGGAUAAUGCCAGCGUAGGGACGUUACAAUGUACAUGC
RNAcentral lists this non-coding RNA (106 nucleotides) under Fannyhessea vaginae. RNAcentral's name for it is "Atopobium vaginae TPP sequence". It matches the Rfam family "TPP riboswitch aptamer (THI element)". From Rfam's summary of the family: Vitamin B(1) in its active form thiamin pyrophosphate (TPP) is an essential coenzyme that is synthesised by coupling of pyrimidine and thiazole moieties in bacteria. The previously detected thiamin-regulatory element, thi box was extended, resulting in a new, highly conserved RNA secondary structure, the THI element, which is widely distributed in eubacteria and also occurs in some archaea. The record is from RNAcentral. Lineage: Bacteria; Bacillati; Actinomycetota; Coriobacteriia; Coriobacteriales; Atopobiaceae.